RNAcentral lists this long non-coding RNA (815 nucleotides) under Actinidia chinensis (golden kiwifruit). RNAcentral describes it as "long non-coding RNA (ACHI_LNC004379)". The record is from RNAcentral. Lineage: Eukaryota; Viridiplantae; Streptophyta; Magnoliopsida; Ericales; Actinidiaceae.
UUUCUCACAAUAUGCAAAAGUUCACAUUCUAUGCUACAUCAUUGCAUUAUGCAUUCGCAACAUAUAGCAGCUAGAUAUGCAAUAUGAUAAAUCAUGUUGCAAAAUGCAAGCUAACUGAAAAGUGUUAGAACUUAAGCUAAAGGAAGUGCCAUAAUAGGGAAUAGGAAAAAACUCUAUCACAAUCUAAAUUGUAGCCUCCAGUCGUGUUUCAAACAUUGUACUUACAAAUAGACAACCAGCAGGCCAAGCACUCACGUAGAAACUAAUGUUUCCAAUUACUUCCUGGUUGCUGCUACCCAGAGUUCAAAGCUCUCCUUAAGAUAGAUACCGCAUCACUCAUUCACUCUUUCCAAUAACAAAACCCCAAGCAUAUAAUCCUUGCAAGCAACUACUACUUGCCUAUUUUGGGCAAUCCCCCGCAAAAAACUGGGCCAUGGAAAUGCAAUUGCGGGGAAUCCUAUGUGAGAUUAAAUAAAUACUUGGUCCAGAAAAGAAAAAGAAAAAAGGGAAAAUAUAAAACAAAACAAAAUAAAAAGAAGAGGAUCAAAUAGUUAUCUUCGAAAGGUCAGCAGUUGAUUACUUGUGGAAGAAUGCUAUUUUUCAACUUUGAAGUAUGUUGGAGGUAAAAUAGCACCUCCUAAACCAAUAUUUUAUCAUUGUGAGUAUCUCCACUCAUUGCCGAGUGGUUUUGAGUUGGAUGCUUAUACACAGUGGUAUCUACGCUGAGCUUUCAGAAGAUUUUGGGAAAGACUCUGUUUCAAUUUCAGCGCUUUUGGUAAUUAUUUCCCCCUUUGUUCAUGCCAUAGGUGCACUUU